This 467-nucleotide ribosomal RNA is filed under the name uncultured bacterium. RNAcentral describes it as "partial 16S ribosomal RNA". It matches the Rfam family "Bacterial small subunit ribosomal RNA", at positions 28 to 507 of the family's 1533-position model. The record is from RNAcentral.
GACGAACGCUGGCGGCGUGCUUAACACAUGCAAGUCGAACGGAAAGGUCCUGCUUUUGUGGGGUGCUCGAGUGGCGAACGGGUGAGUAACACGUGAGUAACCUGCCCUUGACUUUGGGAUAACUUCAGGAAACUGGGGCUAAUACCGGAUAGGAGCUCCUGCUGCAUGGUGGGGGUUGGAAAGUUUCGGCGGUUGGGGAUGGACUCGCGGCUUAUCAGCUUGUUGGUGGGGUAGUGGCUUACCAAGGCUUUGACGGUAGCCGGCCUGAGAGGGUGACCGGCCACAUUGGGACUGAGAUACGGCCCAGACUCCUACGGGAGGCAGCAGUGGGGAAUAUUGCACAAUGGGCGGAAGCCUGAUGCAGCAACGCCGCGUGCGGGAUGACGGCCUUCGGGUUGUAAACCGCUUUCGCCUGUGACGAAGCGUGAGUGACGGUAAUGGGUAAAGAAGCACCGGCUAACUACGUG